GAUUAUUAAAGCGUGGUGCCAUAGACAGCAGGUAGCAAAGUAAAUCCUGCCGAGGAACUUGUUUGUAAAUAAGAUCUUCCUGUCUAUGACUAGGAAGAUUUUUUAUGGUCAUGC
Non-coding RNA from Bacillus sp. CAG:988, 114 nucleotides. NCBI's taxonomy places the organism in Bacteria, Bacillati, Bacillota, Bacilli, Caryophanales, Bacillaceae. The record is from Rfam.